UGCUAGCGGAGGGCAGUUCGGUUGCCCCGCGAACAGCUCAGUAACACGUGGUCAAUCUACCCUUGGGACUGGUAUAACCCCGGGAAACUGGGGAUAAUACCAGAUAGACGGGGAGUCUGGAAAAGUUCCUCGUCGAAACGCGAUAGCACCCAAGGAUGAGACUGCGGCCUAUUAGGUAGUUGGUGGGGUAAUGGCCCACCAAGCCAAAGAUGGGUACGGGCCCUGAGAGGGGGAGCCCGGAGAUGGGGACUGAGACAAGGCCCCAGGCCCUACGGGGCGCAGCAGGUGCGAAAAUUCCGCAAUGCGUGCAAGCGCGACGGAGUGACUCCCAGUGCCGAUGGUCCAACGAUCGUCGGCUUUUCUGGAAUGUAAAAAGUUCCAGGUAAUAAGGGCCGGGUAAGACUGGUGCCAGCCGCCGCGGUAACACCAGCGGCCCAAGUGGUAGUCGCUCUUAUUGGGCCUAAAGCGUCCGUAGCCGGGCUAACAAGUCUUUUGUGAAAUCGGGCGGCUUAACCGCUCGAAUUGCAGGGGAAACUGUUGGUCUUGAGGCCGGCAGGCGGCGAGGGUACUCCGGGGGUAGCGGUGAAAUGCUAUAAUCCCCGGGGGACCGCCGGUGGCGAAAGCGCUCGCCGAUGCUGGACCUGACGGUGAGGGACGAAAGCCAGGGGAGCAAACCGGAUUAGAUACCCGGGUAGUCCUGGCUGCAAAGGAUGUGGGCUAGGUGCUUGGUGAUCCUCGAGAUCACUA
RNAcentral lists this ribosomal RNA (747 nucleotides) under uncultured archaeon. RNAcentral's name for it is "bacterial SSU rRNA". It matches the Rfam family "Archaeal small subunit ribosomal RNA", at positions 52 to 796 of the family's 1478-position model. The record is from RNAcentral.